AAAUUGAAGAGUUUGAUCAUGGCUCAGAUUGAACGCUGGCGGCAGGCCUAACACAUGCAAGUCGAACGGUAACAGGAAGCAGCUUGCUGCUUCGCUGACGAGUGGCGGACGGGUGAGUAAUGUCUGGGAAACUGCCUGAUGGAGGGGGAUAACUACUGGAAACGGUGGCUAAUACCGCAUAACGUCGCAAGACCAAAGAGGGGGACCUUCGGGCCUCUUGCCAUCAGAUGUGCCCAGAUGGGAUUAGCUUGUUGGUGAGGUAACGGCUCACCAAGGCGACGAUCCCUAGCUGGUCUGAGAGGAUGACCAGCCACACUGGAACUGAGACACGGUCCAGACUCCUACGGGAGGCAGCAGUGGGGAAUAUUGCACAAUGGGCGCAAGCCUGAUGCAGCCAUGCCGCGUGUAUGAAGAAGGCCUUCGGGUUGUAAAGUACUUUCAGCGGGGAGGAAGGUGUUGUGGUUAAUAACCGCAGCAAUUGACGUUACCCGCAGAAGAAGCACCGGCUAACUCCGUGCCAGCAGCCGCGGUAAUACGGAGGGUGCAAGCGUUAAUCGGAAUUACUGGGCGUAAAGCGCACGCAGGCGGUCUGUCAAGUCGGAUGUGAAAUCCCCGGGCUCAACCUGGGAACUGCAUUCGAAACUGGCAGGCUUGAGUCUUGUAGAG
Molecule: ribosomal RNA, 666 nt
Filed under: Salmonella enterica subsp. enterica serovar Cerro
Lineage: Bacteria; Pseudomonadati; Pseudomonadota; Gammaproteobacteria; Enterobacterales; Enterobacteriaceae
Description: bacterial SSU rRNA
Rfam family: Bacterial small subunit ribosomal RNA
Source: RNAcentral